Molecule: long non-coding RNA, 802 nt
Organism: Bos taurus (domestic cattle)
Lineage: Eukaryota; Metazoa; Chordata; Mammalia; Artiodactyla; Bovidae
Source: Ensembl
CAACAAAGGGACAGCGGCUGACUCAACCAACAGGACGAGCGAAUGCGGCCCAGGAGCCAGCGCUGCCCCUGAGCCAGGGCCACUGCCCCCUGCCGGCUCCUGGGCUCCUGGCCUGCAGGACUGAUGCAGAGCCGGCCAGCUGACAGCUGACAGGCUGUUGGCACCUGCUGUCUCCUCCACCACAGACCCCAGGAGGCUUAUUAGAAAAAGAGUCACUCUGGCUUGGUCAGUCCAAAGUUCUCAGGCCUUCUCUUGGCUAAAGACUAUCCUAACCAACACGGGGAAACCUGAGGCCUCAGGAGCAGGUGCUGGAACCCGAAGCAACAGCUCCAAGUCCCCAUCUCGGCGGCCACACCAAGGACGCCUAACCCAGUCCUCCUCACCCGGAGCCCAUCUGCAAACUCCACCGUCCUGCCCAGGGGGACACAACUCACCCAGAAACCCCAUCCUCAGCCAGGUGGCCCACAGCAAACCCCAAGUCACCAGAUGAGGACCCUGGAUGAGGCAUGCAGGACAGGCCAAGGGGCUCUGAGCUCUGGACUGGCUGCCUCCAGUCCAGCCGCCCCAAGGACCACCACCCUAGCUUCCCGGUCCAGAACACGCCAGCCAAACCCUCUCACCCACCCCUUUAACAUAAAGAAGCUCCAGGAAGAGAAGAAACCAACUUAUUUUCAAGGUGCCUUUGAGUAAUCUCCGUUGUUCCUGAACUUUCUUCCCUGCAUGAAUACAGAACAGCAGUGUGAAAACACAGCUAUUCCAGGAUGGAAAGUGAUUUUAGAAACUCCUCUUGCAACGCCUUGAG